This 896-nucleotide ribosomal RNA is filed under the name uncultured bacterium. RNAcentral's name for it is "bacterial SSU rRNA". It matches the Rfam family "Bacterial small subunit ribosomal RNA", at positions 505 to 1398 of the family's 1533-position model. The record is from RNAcentral.
GUGUCAGCACGCCGCGGUAAUACGAAGGGACCUAGCGUAGUUCGGAAUUACUGGGCUUAAAGAGCUCGUAGGUGGUUAAGAAAGUUGGUGGUGAAAUCCCAAGGCUUAACCUUGGAACUGCCACCAAAACUUUUUGACUAGAGUAUGAUAGAGGUAAGUGGAAUUUCUAGUGKARAGGUGAAAUUCGUAGAUAUUAGAAAGAACACCAAUUGCGAAGGCAACUUUCUGGAUCAUUACUGACACUGAGGAGCGAAAGCAUGGGUAGCGAAGAGGAUUAGAUACCCUCGUAGUCCAUGCUGUAAACGAUGUGUGCUAGACGUUGGAAACUUAGUUUUCAGUGUCGCAGCGAAAGCGUUAAGCACACCGCCUGGGGAGUACGACCGCAAGGUUAAAACUCAAAUGAAUUGACGGGGACCCGCACAAGCAGUGGAGCAUGUGGUUUAAUUCGAAGAUACGCGCAGAACCUUACCAACACUUGACAUGUUCGUCGCGACUCGUAGAGAUAUGAGUCUUCGGUUCGGCCGGACGAAACACAGGUGCUGCAUGGCUGUCGUCAGCUCGUGUCGUGAGAWKGUUGGGUUAAGUCCCGCAACGAGCGCAACCCUUACUUUUAGUUGCCACCAUUUAGUUGAGCACUCUAAAAGAACUGCCAGUGAUAAGCUGGAGGAAGGCGGGGAUGACGUCAAGUCCUCAUGGCCCUUACGGUGUUGGGCUACACACGUGCUACAAUGGCACUUACAAUGAGAUGCGAAGAGGCGACUCCUAGCCAAUCUCUAAAAUGUGCCUCAGUUCGGAUUGUACUCUGCAACUCGAGUACAUGAAGCUGGAAUUGCUAGUAAUCGCGGAUCAGCUCGCCGCGGUGAAUACGUUCCCGGGUCUUGCACACACCGCCCGUC